RNAcentral lists this long non-coding RNA (1828 nucleotides) under Penaeus japonicus. RNAcentral describes it as "uncharacterized LOC122262092". Lineage: Eukaryota; Metazoa; Arthropoda; Malacostraca; Decapoda; Penaeidae. The record is from RNAcentral.
GCGUAUUCAACAAACAAACUCCAAUAAACCGCCGAAACAUAGAAACAACUGCAUCCGUCUCCCACCCACUUCGAGUUGUGAACGCUUAGAUGGAAUCUGUGGUAGAAGAGGCGGUACUUCGGAGAUUACCAGACUCCUUGACAUGUCAAAGACUGGUUUACAUUAUUUACCAUAUCACUGUUGCAAUACAUAACGUCACCGUUACGUUAGUCCCUCAACAUUCUCGCUAAUCUCGAGAGUGAAUUCCAAGCUUGGUUGCUGGAGUCGGAGGGUGCAGCCAAUGCAGAUAAGCUCAAAGAAAUGUGCCAGGGCCUUUUGAUCAUCAAAACAACUCAUUGUGGAGAUAUUGGAUUGGUUCCCUUUUGGCACUCAACCUCCAUGAAGUAAAUGACCUCAUCAACCAGGUAGUUGGUGGUUUUUGAGUGACGUAGUGCAUCAGGGUGUCACCUGUUGCACUACAAUGCUUACAACAAUGCUCAUUAUGGAGAGUCCUGACUACUAUUUGCCAUACACAAUGGUAGCCUAGUCUUGUCAUUUGUAGGCACCUCUCAAAAUCAUCCCAGAAAGUGCCAGUGAUUCAUACUUUGUUGCAUUCAUAUAAUAGCUGCUACUUCACACCAUGAAUUCACAACUGGGGCACGAGACCAAUUCUUUCAAUUGCUACUCCUUUCCAAACUCUGUUAGUCUGUCAGCAAGCUCUUUCCUAGGGUGUAAUCAAAGACUCCUAGGUUGCAAGAAUCAUAAUGUUCUUGUAUUACCACUUUCAUGAUAUUUGAACAACAAAAAACUAUUGGCAGUGAGAAAGAACAGUUCAUAUAUUCACUAAACAUCACACAUUGGUUCUAGACCACAUUAGCUUCCUAAGAAUUCUUAGCAAAGUGUAACUCAAAUUUACUAUGAAGAUUUACUCUUAGAAUGAUCAUGCCAAUAGAGAAUUCAGUUUUAUCAAUGCAAUAAUUGGCAUUGGGAUUAUUUUGUCAAAAAAGUGAAAUAUCAAGGUCAAUUCUUACAUCACACCCAUGUCAAAUAACAAUAGCUCAAGAAUUUGUAAUCAAAAUAUUAAAACAUUACCUUGUACUAAUGAUGAUUUUUGCCUUUCCCUUUUGCAGGGUAAUUCCUGCACCCACUGUAACUGUCUAGGGUUUGUGUGUGUGUAAUGGAGGGGAUAUGGGUUAAAUUGUACAUGCAUAAUAUUUAUGUUGAAUUUCUUUCAUGCAUGAAAGAAAAUGAAAACAGUAAAGUUUUCUAUUUUACAUGAUAAAGAAAAUGGUACAAUGAAAAAACUGCGUCUAAUUUUGGCCAUGUAUUAUUUGAAACGUUUUUUGGUAUUGUAAAGAGUAUUGACAUAGAUCUUUGUAACUAACUGCUGUCUAACUUAUCCUAAACAAAUCAAGCUUAUACAUCGUUCCCUAGCCAAGGGGGAGCUUUGCAUGUGAAAAGCUGCACCUCAACACAGAAUAAUGGCAAGGAUGUGGGACUUCAGCAACAUCGCGUGCAUUUGGACUUACCCAUGCGAGCAGGUAUUUACAAACUUUGACGUGCACGUGGUGAGGCAGAGCACCGUCUUCCCGCCGCCUGACCCUCUUCCGGUGGCACCAGAUGCAGACCACAAUCAGGAGGACUGAAGAAAUACCCAGACCAACACCAACCAGCAUCAACACAUUUACUUCUGUGGCUUUGACACCUAAAAGAGAAUGACUGAAGCCACAGAAGAACCUUAUGGUACGGUCGAACAUGGAUGAACCAGUUACAAGAAAAUGCACCAGCCUCACGGUCCGGGCCAGCAUAUUUGUCUGGCCAAUGUGGGGAAUGAAUGAUUCCAUAUUCC